GGCCCACAGCCUCUCUAAAGCCGCAAGGAAUAGGGGCCACCCAGAGUAUGUGUCCAAGUGACCUUUGAUGAUGUGGCUGGGGACUUCCCCCUGGAGGAGUGGACUUCACUGGACCUCACUCAGAGAAACCUAUCUGGAGAUGUGAUGCUGGAGACCUACAAGAACCUGGCCACAGUUAUAUGGGAGAGUGGACUGACCUUACACGACAUCUUGACUCCUCCAUGGAUCUUGUUCACACUUGACUGAAUCCGAGAUUUUGGGGUCAUGGGUGAGAUUAAUCCUACAGGUUGGCCUCGUCCUGCUGUCUGGACUCCUAAUGAUAGUAGCAUUAAUAAAUGCUGUAUGAGUUAAACUGAGCAGAUUUGGUCCCAACCUUUACUG
This 381-nucleotide long non-coding RNA is filed under the name Equus asinus (donkey). RNAcentral's name for it is "lncRNA (ENSEASG00005024814.1)". Lineage: Eukaryota; Metazoa; Chordata; Mammalia; Perissodactyla; Equidae. The record is from RNAcentral.